This 599-nucleotide ribosomal RNA is filed under the name Vibrio harveyi. RNAcentral's name for it is "bacterial SSU rRNA". It matches the Rfam family "Bacterial small subunit ribosomal RNA", at positions 68 to 669 of the family's 1533-position model. Lineage: Bacteria; Pseudomonadati; Pseudomonadota; Gammaproteobacteria; Vibrionales; Vibrionaceae. The record is from RNAcentral.
GGGGGACGAUAACGGCGUCGAGCGGCGGACGGGUGAGUAAUGCCUAGGAAAUUGCCCUGGUGUGGGGGAUAACCAUUGGAAACGAUGGCUAAUACCGCAUAAUACCUACGGGUCAAAGAGGGGGACCUUCGGGCCUCUCGCGUCAGGAUAUGCCUAGGUGGGAUUAGCUAGUUGGUGAGGUAAUGGCUCACCAAGGCGACGAUCCCUAGCUGGUCUGAGAGGAUGAUCAGCCACACUGGAACUGAGACACGGUCCAGACUCCUACGGGAGGCAGCAGUGGGGAAUAUUGCACAAUGGGCGCAAGCCUGAUGCAGCCAUGCCGCGUGUGUGAAGAAGGCCUUCGGGUUGUAAAGCACUUUCAGUCGUGAGGAAGGUAGUGUAGUUAAUAGCUGCAUUAUUUGACGUUAGCGACAGAAGAAGCACCGGCUAACUCCGUGCCAGCAGCCGCGGUAAUACGGAGGGUGCGAGCGUUAAUCGGAAUUACUGGGCGUAAAGCGCAUGCAGGUGGUUUGUUAAGUCAGAUGUGAAAGCCCGGGGCUCAACCUCGGAAUAGCAUUUGAAACUGGCAGACUAGAGUACUGUAGAGGGGGGUAGAAUUU